This 27-nucleotide ribosomal RNA is filed under the name Cunninghamella bertholletiae. RNAcentral describes it as "partial 28S ribosomal RNA". Lineage: Eukaryota; Fungi; Mucoromycota; Mucoromycetes; Mucorales; Cunninghamellaceae. The record is from RNAcentral.
UCUUGGCCUGAAAUCAGAUGGACUACC